RNAcentral lists this ribosomal RNA (253 nucleotides) under uncultured bacterium. RNAcentral's name for it is "partial 16S ribosomal RNA". It matches the Rfam family "Bacterial small subunit ribosomal RNA", at positions 524 to 776 of the family's 1533-position model. The record is from RNAcentral.
GACGAACCGUGCGAACGUUGUUCGGAAUCACUGGGCGUAAAGGGUGCGUAGGCGGGUCUUUAAGUCAGGGGGGAAAUCCUGGAGCUCAACUCCAGAACUGCCUUUGAUACUGAGGAUCUUGAGUUCGGGAGAGGUGAGUGGAACUGCGAGUGUAGAGGUGAAAUUCGUAGAUAUUCGCAAGAACACCAGUGGCGAAGGCGGCUCACUGGCCCGAUACUGACGCUGAGGCACGAAAGCGUGGGGAGCAAACAGG